CGACACUUCUGCAAGCAACUGCGAUGGUAUCACAUCAAAAGACCUAUGCCCUGGUCCGACAGAAGAAAAUGUGCAUCUUUGAGUGAAGUACCAUCAGCAAUUGAAGAGUGACUGCUGGGAAAGUUGCACUGACACAGGCGGCUACAAAGGAUAUAUUGUGGUUACAGCUGUAGCGGAACUAAGUUCGUGUGAGCAAGAGGAAACGCAUCAACUAAAGUGAAAUCAACCAGAGAAGAUUUGAGGGAUGAUAGCGCUCCUCCUUAUUAGAGUAUCUACGUGCAAAAACGCCUGUUGAUGGCAAAGGUCAAAGGAGAAUGGCCCGGCUGCUUUGAACUGAUGGGAAAGCAACAGUAACUCAAAGUAUGCAGAAGAGCACAACAUAUCGAACCUUGAAGCAGAUGGGCUGCAACAGCAGAAGACCACACCGGGUCCCACUCCUGUCACAGGAAACUGAAUCUACACUUCACAUAGGCUCACCUAGAGACCUGAAGAUAUGAGUCAAAUUUGGGAUGCUAGUGGUGGUAUAGUGCAUGGAGGAUAUAUUCUUGGCCCACUUUGGGCCCUGUAGUACCAGUUCACUCGCUUCUAAAUGCUAAAACCUACCUUUUGUAAACUGUGAGCUAAGCGGAGAUUUCUAACUUUCAUUUAAGGGAAUUAACAAAAGUAAGGCAUGUGUGGAAUUUAAUCUCUGGCUCUCUUCCACAGAGAGCCAGAGAUUUGGCUCUUGUCCUCCCCUCACCCCCAACUAGUCGCCACAGAUACCCGCCCCUUCCUGAGCCUGAUCCAGUCAGAUGUUUCUUCCUGUUAAAAAGGAGUUUUUCCUUCCCACUGUCGCCAAGUGCUUGCUCAAAUGGGAUCAUUUGAUUGUUGGCGUUUUAUCUGUGUUAUUGUAGCAUCUUCACCUGACAAUGUAAACUGCCCUGUUGUGAUUUGGCACUAUAUAAUAAAACUGAACUGAAUUACAGUCACUUUUA
Oreochromis aureus is the source of this 974-nucleotide long non-coding RNA. NCBI's taxonomy places the organism in Eukaryota, Metazoa, Chordata, Actinopteri, Cichliformes, Cichlidae. The record is from Ensembl.